Molecule: ribosomal RNA, 223 nt
Filed under: Salmonella enterica
Lineage: Bacteria; Pseudomonadati; Pseudomonadota; Gammaproteobacteria; Enterobacterales; Enterobacteriaceae
Also listed under: 3 other names
Description: partial 16S ribosomal RNA
Rfam family: Bacterial small subunit ribosomal RNA
Source: RNAcentral
GGAAUAUUGCACAAUGGGCGCAAGCCUGAUGCAGCCAUGCCGCGUGUAUGAAGAAGGCCUUCGGGUUGUAAAGUACUUUCAGCGGGGAGGAAGGUGUUGUGGUUAAUAACCACAGCAAUUGACGUUACCCGCAGAAGAAGCACCGGCUAACUCCGUGCCAGCAGCCGCGGUAAUACGGAGGGUGCAAGCGUUAAUCGGAAUUACUGGGCGUAAAGCGCACGCA